ACGAAAAUUUAGUUUUUGAAUAAAUUAAAAUAAAAUGAAAAGAGUAAUAAUUUUUUUAUUAAUUUAAUACAUCGAGUUUGAACUCAAAUUUCACUGUCCUGAUGAAUUAGUCAAGGGUUAAUGUCUCUAUUAGGCUGAAUAAUUCUCUCUUUUUCCAAAAGAAUAGAGAGGUUGCGCAAUUUACAUUUACAUUUAGACUUUUGUAAUCCUAGCUAUAAACAAAUAAAUUAAUCAUUUCCCCAGCAGCCAACAUCACCAUCAAUUUCAUAAUGAAGUCCUCUUUUCAAUGGCAAGCUUGAUUCUCCCUAGAAAUUCAUCUAUUUUCAUUGUUCCUAGCUCCCCACUAAACCUAGAUCUUACUGUAACACUUUGUGUCUCAACCUCCUUAGGUCCCACAACAGCCAUUAAAGGAAUUUUCUGCUUCUCUGCAUUUCUAAUAAGCUUUGGUAAACGCUCGCCAUGGCAAACUUCAGUUCGAAUACCAUUAUCUCUCAGUUGGUCGCUCACUUCUUUGCAGUACUCAAGCUGUGUGUCAGUAACUGGUAACACUCGAACUUGGAUUGGAGAGAGCCACAAUGGGAAAUCCCCGGCAUAAUGCUCUAUGAGAACCCCAAAAAACCGCUCUAAGGAUCCAAGCACUGCUCUGUGAAUCAUUAUAGGCUGCUUCUUCUCCAUGUUUGAAUCAACAUAAGUAAUGUCAAACCGUUGAGGUAAAUUAAAAUCAACCUGUAUUGUCGAGCACUGCCACUUCCUUCCAAGAGCAUCCUCAAUCUUAAGAUCAAUCUUUGGACCAUAAAAGGCACCACCACCUUCAUCAAUUUGAUAGAUCCAACCCUUAUCAUGCAAAGCAUCUCUAAGAGCAGAUGUUGCUUUUUCCCAUAUAUCAUCAUCUCCCACAAAUUUAUCUGGCCUAGUUGAGAGGUUCACUUCAUAUUUGUUGAAACCAAAUUGCAAUAGUAUCUCCUCUGUAAGAUCUAGGACUCCCCUAAUUUCAUCUUUAAUUUGAUCUUCCAAACAAAAAAUAUGUGCAUCAUCCUGGGUAAAACCUCUUACGCGGAAAAGACCAUGUAAGCUUCCAGAUAACUCAUAUCUAUAUACCGUUCCUAGCUCUGCAACCCUGAUCGGAAAAUCACGAUAAGAAUUGAGCCUUCUUUUGUAUACCAAAAUGUGGUAAGGGCAAUUCAUAGGCCGAAGUUGAUAAUUCUCAUCCUCAAUCUUCAUCUGAUCAUACAUGUUCUCUCUGUAGAAGUCAAGAUGGCCACUGAUCUUCCACAGAUCCACCUUUGCUACAUGAGGAGUAUAUAACAAAUCAUAACCAUGUUCCAUAUGUAUUUUCUUCCAAGAGUUUUCUAUAAUAUGCCUAACAAUGGCGCCCUUUGGAUGCCAGAAAACCAAACCUCCACCAGCUUCAUCCUGUAUAGAAAAGAGAUCAAGAUAUUGGCCGAGGCGCCUGUGGUCUCGCCGUUUAGCCUCCUCUUUGAAGUAAAGAUAGGCUUUUAGUUGUUCUUCACUCUCCCAAGCUGUUCCAUAUAUCCUCUGCAGCAUUGGUUUGUUUUCAUCUCCUCUCCAGUAAGCACCAGCAACAGAUUCAAGUUCAACAGCUUUCUUAUUAAUAAGGCCAGUAGAGUCAACAUGAGGUCCAGCACAAAGAUCCCACCAUUCUUCACCAAUAUGGUAUAUAGUAAUGGGAUCUUCUUUUAUGCUUUCUAAAAUUUCCAUCUUGUACGGUUCCUUAACAGCCAUUAUUCUCCUCUGAGCUUCAUCACGGGUAACUUCUUCUCUUACAAGAGGCAAAUUUCGAGCAAUGAUGCGAUCCAUCUCCUUUUUAAUCCUCUUGAGGUCUCUAUCCGUCAAAGGCUCCAUAUCGAAAUCGUAAUAAAACCCAUUUUCUAUCCAUGGCCCAAUCGUCACUUUUGCUUCAGGGUAGAGUUUUUGAACAGCCAUGGCCAUAACAUGUGCACACGUGUGGCGAAUUCUGAGGAGUUUCUCAGACGAUUCAUUAGUGGGAAGAACAAUUUUGUCACUUUCCUCUUUCUGGGUCUCCUGAGCAGUGUCGUUUUGGGACACAGUCGCUGACUCAGUGGUAACUGCAGUAGAGAAAGAGACGCCAUUUCUCUUCCCAAACAGAGCACCAAAAUUCCUGGCGUGGCUUUGAGGUUGGAGCUUAGAUAUGGAAAGGAAACGUUUAUGAGGAAAGCAAAGGGGCAGAGGAGGCUUUAGGGGGCUAAGAGAAGUGGGUUUAGGGAGGAAAAGAGAGGGAAAUGCUUCCAUUCUCUGUAAGAUAUACAGAGUUUUGAGUUUGGUUUUUGUGUUUCCUUUUAGGCACUGAUUUUGUGCCUCUAUUGG
Molecule: unclassified non-coding RNA, 2346 nt
Filed under: Hevea brasiliensis (rubber tree)
Lineage: Eukaryota; Viridiplantae; Streptophyta; Magnoliopsida; Malpighiales; Euphorbiaceae
Source: RNAcentral